UUGGAUUAAUCCCCUAUAAUAUCAAAAUUCCGCAUGGUUUUUUGAUUAAAGCUUCGGUGGUAAGAGAUGAGCAUGCGUCCUAUUAGUUUGUAGGUGAGGUAACGGCUCACCUAGACUACGAUAGGUAGGGGCCCUGAGAGGGGGAUCCCCCACACUGGUACUGAGACACGGACCAGACUCCUACGGGAGGCAGCAGUGAGGAAUAUUGGACAAUGGACGAAAGUCUGAUCCAGCUAUGCCGCGUGCAGGAUGACAGCCCUACGGGUUGUAAACUGCUUUUAUACAGGAAGAAAAACUCCGACGUGUCGGGGCUUGACGGUACUGUAAGAAUAAGGAUCGGCUAA
RNAcentral lists this ribosomal RNA (344 nucleotides) under uncultured Bacteroidota bacterium. Its description in RNAcentral is "bacterial SSU rRNA". It matches the Rfam family "Bacterial small subunit ribosomal RNA", at positions 158 to 500 of the family's 1533-position model. The record is from RNAcentral. Lineage: Bacteria; Pseudomonadati; Bacteroidota.